RNAcentral lists this ribosomal RNA (253 nucleotides) under uncultured bacterium. RNAcentral's name for it is "partial 16S ribosomal RNA". It matches the Rfam family "Bacterial small subunit ribosomal RNA", at positions 524 to 776 of the family's 1533-position model. The record is from RNAcentral.
UACGUAGGGUGCAAGCGUUGUCCGGAAUUACUGGGCGUAAAGCGCGCGUAGGCGGCUUUGUAAGUUAGAGGUGAAAGCCCGGGGCUCAACCCCGGAAUUGCCUUUAAGACUGCAUCGCUUGAAUCCGGGAGAGGUGAGUGGAAUUCCGAGUGUAGAGGUGAAAUUCGUAGAUAUUCGGAAGAACACCAGUGGCGAAGGCGGCUCACUGGACCGGCAUUGACGCUGAGGUGCGAAAGCGUGGGGAGCAAACAGG